This 511-nucleotide ribosomal RNA is filed under the name uncultured bacterium. RNAcentral describes it as "bacterial SSU rRNA". It matches the Rfam family "Bacterial small subunit ribosomal RNA", at positions 995 to 1503 of the family's 1533-position model. The record is from RNAcentral.
ACGGCCCGUAACGGGGCCGGCCCUUUCAGGGCAGGGGAGACAGGUGGUGCAUGGUUGUCGUCAGCUCGUGUCGUGAGAUGUUGGGUUAAGUCCCGCAACGAGCGCAACCCCUGCCCGCAGUAGCCAGCACAUGAAGGUGGGCACUCUGCGGGGACUGCCGGGGACAACCCGGAGGAAGGCGGGGACGACGUCAAAUCAUCAUGCCCCUUAUGGCCUGGGCGACACACGUGCUACAAUGGCGCCGACAGAGGGAUGCGAAGCGGCGACGCGGAGCGAACCCCAAAAACGGCGCCCCAGUUCGGAUUGUAGUCUGCAACCCGACUACAUGAAGCCGGAAUCGCUAGUAAUCGCGGAUCAGAACGCCGCGGUGAAUACGUUCCCGGGUCUUGUACACACCGCCCGUCACACCAUGGGAGCCGGGGAUGCCCGAAGUCUGUGGCCGAACCCGAAAGGGGCGGAGCAGCCGAAGGCAGGCCCGGUGACUGGGGUGAAGUCGUAACAAGGUAACCGU